AUCUGUUACGUGCCAGGUCCUGUGUCAAAUGAUGGAGGAAGUGAAAAUGCGUAAGACACAGUCUCACUUUGAAGAGUUCUCAGCCUUGUGGGCAAAGGCAGGAAGGUUCAUUGUGUGGCUUGAGUGCACACAGGGAGGCUUUAAAGAAUGUGAGAGGAAUAUGAGGAACAGAUGCUGCCCUGGAGUGACUCGCAUCUCGCCCGAAGAGACAAACAAGGCACCCAACAACCACAGAACCAAAGUGAAGGAGAAAUAAAGACACUCCCAGAAAAAUACUGAGGAAAUCUGUCUCCAAUAGAACUGCCUUGCAAGAAAUAUUAAAAGAAGUUUUUCAGAGAGAAGGAAAACAAUGUUGGUCAGAAGCUCAAAUCUACAUAAAGAAAGGAUGGAGAAAGAAUGAAUGAAGG
This 407-nucleotide long non-coding RNA is filed under the name Homo sapiens (human). RNAcentral's name for it is "HSALNT0158350". Lineage: Eukaryota; Metazoa; Chordata; Mammalia; Primates; Hominidae. The record is from RNAcentral.